Molecule: non-coding RNA, 129 nt
Organism: Zea mays
Lineage: Eukaryota; Viridiplantae; Streptophyta; Magnoliopsida; Poales; Poaceae
Source: Rfam
AUAUCUUUCUCAUCCUUUUGGCUAAGAUAAGGUGUAGUAUACUAAUAUUUGUUCUUUUCGGUUUAAUAUCUGAUAUGUGGACCAUAUUCUCACUCUGAUAUUAAAUUUAUUUUUUUAUGGGUAUCAAAU